RNAcentral lists this long non-coding RNA (1828 nucleotides) under Salmo salar (Atlantic salmon). Its description in RNAcentral is "lncRNA (ENSSSAG00000092404.1)". The record is from RNAcentral. Lineage: Eukaryota; Metazoa; Chordata; Actinopteri; Salmoniformes; Salmonidae.
CCUGCUACAACAUUAUCAACCUGUACAACUAAACACAACAUUAUCGACCUGCUACAACUAAACACAACAUUAUCGACCUGCUACACAGAGAGGAACCAAGCAUAAAUGUCUUUUUCCAUUGAUUGAAAAUAGCUGUCACUGCAGGGGGAUGUUUGUAGCCAUCUUUUCAUUUUAUUUUCUCCUUCAUGUGGGAACAUCUAUAAUAUUAGACCCAUCUCUUUAUUCUCUUGAAUGACCUGUACAGACCAGGGUCUGUACCGACCCCGAGCUGGACUGAGGAGGUUUUAUACAGACCAGGGUCUGUACCGAGCUGGACUGAGGAGGUUUUAUACAGACCAGGGUCUGUAUCGACCCAGAGCUGGACUGAGGGGUUUUAUACAGACCAGGGUCUGUACCGACCCAGAGCUGGACUGAGGAGGUUUUAUACAGACCAGGGUCUGUACCGACCCAGAGCUGGACUGAGGAGGUUUUAUACAGACCAGGGUCUGUGAUCAACCAAGAUGGACUGAGGAGGUUUUAUACAGACCAGGAUCUGUACCGACCCAGAACUGAACUGAGGAGGUUUUAUACAGACCAGGGUCUGUACCGACCCAGAGCUGGACUGAGGAGGUUUUAUACAGACCAGGGUCUGUACCGACCCAGAGCUGGACUGAGGAGGUUUUAUACAGACCAGGGUCUGUGAUCAACCAAGAUGGACUGAGGAGGUUUUAUACAGACCAGGGUCUGUACCGACCCAGAACUGGACUGAGGAGGUUUUAUACAGACCAGGGUCUGUACCGACCCCGAGCUGCACUGAGGAGGUUUUAUACAGACCAGGGUCUGUACCGACCCCGAGCUGGACUGAGGAGGUUUUAUACAGACCAGGGUCUGUACCGAGCUGGACUGAGGAGGUUUUAUACAGACCAGGGUCUGUAUCAACCCCGAGCUGGACUGAGGAGGUUUUAUACAGACCAGGGUCUGUACCGACCCAGAGCUGGACUGAGGAGGUUUUAUACAGACCAGGGUCUGUAUCGACCCAGAGCUGGACUGAGGGGUUUUAUACAGACCAGGGUCUGUACCGAGCUGGACUGAGGAGGUUUUAUACAGACCAGGAUCUGUACCGACCCAGAACUGGACUGAGGAGGUUUUAUACAGACCAGGGUCUGUAUCGACCCAGAGCUGGACUGAGGAGGUUUUAUACAGACCAGGGUCUGUACCGACCCAGAACUGGACUGAGGAGGUUUUAUACAGACCAGGGUCUGUACCGACCCAGAGCUGGACUGAGGAGGUUUUAUACAGACCAGGGUCUGUGAUCAACCAAGAUGGACUGAGGAGGUUUUAUACAGACCAGGGUCUGUAUCGACCCAGAGCUGGACUGAGGGGUUUUAUACAGACCAGGGUCUGUACCGACCCAGAGCUGGACUGAGGAGGUUUUAUACAGACCAGGGUCUGUACCGACCCAGAGCUGGACUGAGGAGGUUUUAUACAGACCAGGGUCUGUAUCAACCCCGAGCUGGACUGAGGAGGUUUGAUACAGACCAGGGUCUGUACCGACCCAGAGCUGGACUGAGGAGGUUCUAUACCUGGUCUGUGUUCAACCAAGAUGGAAGAGGAACGACUCAAACAUCCGAAUCUUAGUGCCAAGGUUACCGUGGAAACAGAGGAGGGGAACUGAUUUGUCUAAGUAACUAAUAUUAAAACAUUAAAAAAAUAAGUGUUAUGUAAAGUUGUUAUUGUCUAUUUGUUGGAGCGUAAACAGAGAAACACCAGAUGGGACGAUGUGCGUUGUUGUCCUGUCAGGAGUGGAUUGAUUGAUUGAUUGAUUGAUUGAUUGAUUGAUUGAUUGAUU